This 465-nucleotide ribosomal RNA is filed under the name uncultured bacterium. Its description in RNAcentral is "partial 16S ribosomal RNA". It matches the Rfam family "Bacterial small subunit ribosomal RNA", at positions 28 to 507 of the family's 1533-position model. The record is from RNAcentral.
GAUGAACGCUGGCGGCGUGCUUAACACAUGCAAGUCGAACGGAAAGGCUCCUGCUUGCAGGGGUACUCGAGUGGCGAAAGAGUGAGUAACACGUGGGUGAUCUGCCCUGCACUUCGGGAUACGCCUGGGAAACUGUGUCUAAUACCGGAUAGGACGAUGGUUUGGAUGCCAUUGUGGAAAGUUUUUCGGUGUGGGAUGAGCUCGCGGCCUAUCAGCUUGUUGGGGGGGUAAUGGCCUACCAAGGCGUCGACGGGUAGCCGGCCUGAGAGGGUGUACGGCCACGAUGGGAGUGGGAUCCGGCCCAGACUCCUACGGGAGGCAGCAGGGGGGAAUAGUGCACAAUGGGCGCAAGAGUGAUGCAGGAACGCCGGGUGGGGGAAGACGGGCUUAGGGUUGUAAACGCCUUGCGCUAGGGACGAAGCGAAAGUGACGGUACCUGGAGAAGAAGCACCGGCUAACUACGUG